GAGUCUCGGGUCUCUGCUGCGCUUACACUGAUCACAUCCCUGGGCUCCUGCUACAUGGUGAACUCUUAACCCGGGGCCCAGGUUUCCUCUCCCGUGCGCUGAGCUGAGCAGGUUGGCCUUCUCUCCCGAAAGAAGAGCAAGGGGAGGGAGAGAAACACUGGAGCGGCGCACGGAGAUGGCGAGAGAGCACGUCUCAGCUAAGAGACCUGAGAUCGGUUUUAGGACUCCGGUGACAAACAAGUGCAGUUGCACUGCGUGACCCAGACGCAACGUGGAAGCAGUACUCUCCAGGAAAGCCAAGCAACGGGGCCCCGCUGCUCUCCCCCGCUGGCCCGAGCCCGCUCGCAGGGCUCACGCGGGCCUCUCCCGGAGCCCGGAGCGCUUGCGGGCCAGAGGGGGCGGGGGCCGAGCGGCGCGCUCGGAGCCUAGGUCUCGACGGAGCUGCGGGCUGCGGGGAAGCGGGCGGGAGCGGAGGCCUGUCUGGAAGUCUCCCUGGAGCCCUGGCCGGACGGCGCCGGCCGACAGCGUCCCCAAGCCCGCGGGAUCGCGAUCCGCCCCUGCACCCCGGGAGCGCGGUCACGGCCGCCCGGCCCCGGAAACUGCGCACGACGCCCCCGGGCGCUUACGGUCGUCUGCUCCUGGCUCCCGGGCUCGGCGGCAGCAGAGUCUGAGAAGCAUUAGUCUGGGUGAAAGUACGACCCAUUCAAAGUGGUCUUCAUCGCACUCGUAGAGAACGGACGUGAGGGCACGGAUGGGGCGAAGGAUGCAGUUUCAACACCCGGCGUCCUCAAGAUCACAGCCAGCAGACCAGAACCAGGGCCUGUUACAGGGAUAUUAAACUUCUUACUGUCACCCUGUAUACAACUUCAGGAUAAAGUUCACCCCCUUGGCCUCCAAACUUACUGCUCACCCUGGCCCAAGAACUCUCCAUUUCAGUGAAGAGAGGCUGUUCCUGGCUAACAAACACACUCAAUUCAAUCACAUCUCCAACCUUUGCUCGUGCAGCAUGCCUGGAAAGGAUGCUCUCCUGCAUCCAAACAUGAAAUUCUACUGUUCUUUAAUUCCACACCCUCCUACAAAAGCCUUCUCUCAUCCCUGCAGUGUCUGGCAUCUCUGUGCUCCUUGAAAACGUGCAGCCUGUGAGAUCCCUCCAUCCCUCCCCCACAUCUUUCAGACAGAAGCUGCUCUGCCUCUGGCCAUUUUACCAAGGGACUCAAAUUUGUUACUCUUCAAACUGCAGUGCUGAUGAAAACAUUCUAAAAUUAGAUAUUGGUGAUGGUGUAUCACCAUAACUCUGGUAAUAUACUAAAAACUACUGAAUUGUACACUUUAGUUUUUUAUAUAAAUUUAAAAAUUUAUUUUUGGCUGCGUUGGGUCUUUGUUGCUGCGCACGGGCUUUCUCUAGUUGCGGAAGGCGGGGGCUACUCUUCCUUGCGGGGCGCGGGCUUCUCAUUGCGGUGGCUUCUCUUGUUGCGGAGCACCGGCUCAAGGUGGGCAGACUUCAGUAGUUGUGGCUCGCAGGCUCAUGGGCUUAGUUGCUCCGUGGCAUGUGGGAUCUUCCCGAGCUCGAACCCGUGUCCCCUUCAUUGGCAGGCAGAUUCUUAAGCACAGCGCCACCGGGGAAGCCCUGAACUGUUCACUUUAAAAGGAUGAAUUUUAUGGUAUGUG
Molecule: long non-coding RNA, 1668 nt
Organism: Lagenorhynchus albirostris (white-beaked dolphin)
Lineage: Eukaryota; Metazoa; Chordata; Mammalia; Artiodactyla; Delphinidae
Exons: 3
Source: RefSeq, a predicted model, not a curated record